AGCAGCCGCGGUAAUUCCAGCUCCAAUAGCGUAUAUUAAAGUUGCUGCAGUUAAAAAGCUCGUAGUUGAAUUUCGGGACUAAUAUGUCGGUCGUGCCUCGGUACGUACUGGUAUUUUUGGUUUCUCCCUUCUGACGAACCUUGAUGUCAUUAAUUUGGUGUCUUGGGAAAUCAGGACUGUUACUUUGAAAAAAUUAGAGUGUUUAAAGCAGGCUCACGCUUGAAUACAUUAGCAUGGAAUAAUGAAAUAGGACGUUUGAUUCUAUUUUGUUGGUUUCUAGGAUCGACGUAAUGAUUAAUAGGGAUAGUUGGGGGCAUUAGUGUUCAAUUGUCAGAGGUGAAAUUCUUGGAUUUAUUGAAGACUAACUACUGCGAAAGCAUUUGCCAAGGAUGUUUUCAUUAAUCAAGAACGAAAGUUAGGGGAUCGAAGACGAUCAGAUACCGUCGUAGU
Molecule: ribosomal RNA, 450 nt
Filed under: uncultured Glomeromycotina
Lineage: Eukaryota; Fungi; Glomeromycota
Description: SSU rRNA
Rfam family: Eukaryotic small subunit ribosomal RNA
Source: RNAcentral